RNAcentral lists this long non-coding RNA (1998 nucleotides) under Homo sapiens (human). Its description in RNAcentral is "metastasis associated lung adenocarcinoma transcript 1". The record is from RNAcentral. Lineage: Eukaryota; Metazoa; Chordata; Mammalia; Primates; Hominidae.
AGGCAUUGAGGCAGCCAGCGCAGGGGCUUCUGCUGAGGGGGCAGGCGGAGCUUGAGGAAACCGCAGAUAAGUUUUUUUCUCUUUGAAAGAUAGAGAUUAAUACAACUACUUAAAAAAUAUAGUCAAUAGGUUACUAAGAUAUUGCUUAGCGUUAAGUUUUUAACGUAAUUUUAAUAGCUUAAGAUUUUAAGAGAAAAUAUGAAGACUUAGAAGAGUAGCAUGAGGAAGGAAAAGAUAAAAGGUUUCUAAAACAUGACGGAGGUUGAGAUGAAGCUUCUUCAUGGAGUAAAAAAUGUAUUUAAAAGAAAAUUGAGAGAAAGGACUACAGAGCCCCGAAUUAAUACCAAUAGAAGGGCAAUGCUUUUAGAUUAAAAUGAAGGUGACUUAAACAGCUUAAAGUUUAGUUUAAAAGUUGUAGGUGAUUAAAAUAAUUUGAAGGCGAUCUUUUAAAAAGAGAUUAAACCGAAGGUGAUUAAAAGACCUUGAAAUCCAUGACGCAGGGAGAAUUGCGUCAUUUAAAGCCUAGUUAACGCAUUUACUAAACGCAGACGAAAAUGGAAAGAUUAAUUGGGAGUGGUAGGAUGAAACAAUUUGGAGAAGAUAGAAGUUUGAAGUGGAAAACUGGAAGACAGAAGUACGGGAAGGCGAAGAAAAGAAUAGAGAAGAUAGGGAAAUUAGAAGAUAAAAACAUACUUUUAGAAGAAAAAAGAUAAAUUUAAACCUGAAAAGUAGGAAGCAGAAGAAAAAAGACAAGCUAGGAAACAAAAAGCUAAGGGCAAAAUGUACAAACUUAGAAGAAAAUUGGAAGAUAGAAACAAGAUAGAAAAUGAAAAUAUUGUCAAGAGUUUCAGAUAGAAAAUGAAAAACAAGCUAAGACAAGUAUUGGAGAAGUAUAGAAGAUAGAAAAAUAUAAAGCCAAAAAUUGGAUAAAAUAGCACUGAAAAAAUGAGGAAAUUAUUGGUAACCAAUUUAUUUUAAAAGCCCAUCAAUUUAAUUUCUGGUGGUGCAGAAGUUAGAAGGUAAAGCUUGAGAAGAUGAGGGUGUUUACGUAGACCAGAACCAAUUUAGAAGAAUACUUGAAGCUAGAAGGGGAAGUUGGUUAAAAAUCACAUCAAAAAGCUACUAAAAGGACUGGUGUAAUUUAAAAAAAACUAAGGCAGAAGGCUUUUGGAAGAGUUAGAAGAAUUUGGAAGGCCUUAAAUAUAGUAGCUUAGUUUGAAAAAUGUGAAGGACUUUCGUAACGGAAGUAAUUCAAGAUCAAGAGUAAUUACCAACUUAAUGUUUUUGCAUUGGACUUUGAGUUAAGAUUAUUUUUUAAAUCCUGAGGACUAGCAUUAAUUGACAGCUGACCCAGGUGCUACACAGAAGUGGAUUCAGUGAAUCUAGGAAGACAGCAGCAGACAGGAUUCCAGGAACCAGUGUUUGAUGAAGCUAGGACUGAGGAGCAAGCGAGCAAGCAGCAGUUCGUGGUGAAGAUAGGAAAAGAGUCCAGGAGCCAGUGCGAUUUGGUGAAGGAAGCUAGGAAGAAGGAAGGAGCGCUAACGAUUUGGUGGUGAAGCUAGGAAAAAGGAUUCCAGGAAGGAGCGAGUGCAAUUUGGUGAUGAAGGUAGCAGGCGGCUUGGCUUGGCAACCACACGGAGGAGGCGAGCAGGCGUUGUGCGUAGAGGAUCCUAGACCAGCAUGCCAGUGUGCCAAGGCCACAGGGAAAGCGAGUGAAACUUUGUCUGCGAACACUCUUUAAUGGACCAGAUCAGGAUUUGAGCGGAAGAACGAAUGUAACUUUAAGAGGCAUUUCAUCCUUCAUGAAGCCAUUCAGGAUUUUGAAUUGCAUAUGAGUGCUUGGCUCUUCCUUCUGUUCUAACUUCACAGAGAAUGCAGUUGUCUUGACUUCAGGUCUGUCUGUUCUGUUGGCAAGUAAAUGCAGUACUGUUCUGAUCCCGCUGCUAUUAGAAUGCAUUGUGAAACGACUGGAGUAUGAUUAAAAGUUGUGUUCCCCAA